This 73-nucleotide transfer RNA is filed under the name Mustela putorius furo (domestic ferret). It matches the Rfam family "tRNA". Rfam says of the family: Transfer RNA (tRNA) molecules are approximately 80 nucleotides in length. Their secondary structure includes four short double-helical elements and three loops (D, anti-codon, and T loops). The record is from Rfam by way of RNAcentral. RNAcentral also lists the same sequence under 1 other name. Lineage: Eukaryota; Metazoa; Chordata; Mammalia; Carnivora; Mustelidae.
UCCUGGCUGGCUCAGUUGGAAGAGCACGUGACUUGUGAUCUCAGGGUCAUGAGUUUGAGCCCCAUGUUGGGUG